Non-coding RNA from Rattus norvegicus (Norway rat), 1322 nucleotides. Lineage: Eukaryota; Metazoa; Chordata; Mammalia; Rodentia; Muridae. The record is from RefSeq and is a predicted model, not a curated record.
GAGGUGUCCCUAGGGCAGACAUGGGAGACCAGGACAGGUUAGGAGGAGGACAGGAGAUGGGAGGGCCAUGAGGAAUGAAGACAGGUUUAUAUGUAGCCUAAUAUGCCCUUGUGGAAUCUAUUCACAUACUAAUCUAUAUCACACACUGCCUAUGUGAUACACCUAUAUCUUAUACGAUCACAGAAUGUAGCAGACACUCUGCAAGCCUCUGACAGAACAUCUGGAUAGCUAGAGCAGUGGACAUAAGUGAAAAGUUCCAUGCACAGAAGUAGCCUCUUGCUCUUGAAGAGACCCAAGGGUACUUGGUGUCUGGGGCUGACUGUGAAGUUCUGGGCUGAGAGACAAGGGUAGGUGGAAGUGUAUCAGCCACACAGGGAGUUCAGAAGAAAACACACCAAUUGGUGUGUGUCUGGCAGGGGGUGGGUGGUAUAUCCGGGUUGUGGAUGGACAGCUAGGAGAAGGUUGUGACCCCGUUGCCCUGGAUAGAGAGACACUGGAGGUAUGGACCAAGACUCUACAUGUAGAUGGUGACUUCCUACCUGGAAGCUGUAGGGAGAGACUCAAAAGGUGGGAAGGGAGGGAAGGGAAGGAAGGGAAAAGGUGUCUGCACAGAUCCCCAGGUAUGACAGCCAGAAGGAAGGAACGGGAGAAGGGGCCCGACACCCGACCACAGUCAGGGUGGAAAGGCCAGAGUAGAAAAGCCACCAGGGGAAGCCAAAGGUAUCAAGGACAAUUAGAAGCUGGAAGAAGGUAGUGCAAUGGUCUCUUUAUCUGAAAUAACAUUGUAGCCAUUGAUUCUCCAUGGAACAUUCUAGGAACUUCUGGAAACCUGCAGUAACCCUGAUAACAUCUCUAACGAGCUUCUCCUGGUCCUCACUGCCUCACUUCCUUACUUCUGCUCCCUGAAGGCCCCACUUGCUGUCUCUGCUCCUUGUCCCACUGAAGUGUGAGCAGGAUAUUUCUCCUCAUGAUUCUCUAGAAAAUCACAUAAGGGAUGGGGUCUAAACUGUGGUGUAAAAUAUUGUAACAAGGGUGUCGACCUUUUGGUCAGCACACACCUGCACCAGCUGGGCAACUGGUCCUUACUUCCUGAUGGAACAUAUCACAACCCAACCUUCGAGACUUCAAGGCUUUGACAAAGGGAUUCUCUGACCUCCGGAAGGGAUUCAGCUGCCAACUACAGAUGAAGAUGCAGAACUCAGCUGCUCUUGCACCAUUCCUGACUGGAGGCUGCAAUGCUGCCAUGCUCCUGCCUUGAUGAUAAUGAACUGAACCCUCUGAACCUGUAAGCCAGCCCCAAUUAAAUGUUGUUCUUUAUAAAA